This 956-nucleotide non-coding RNA is filed under the name Pan troglodytes (chimpanzee). Lineage: Eukaryota; Metazoa; Chordata; Mammalia; Primates; Hominidae. The record is from RNAcentral.
UUUUUUUGAGACAGGGUCUGGCAGCCUCGAACCCCUGGAGGCUUAGGUGAUCCUCCCACCUCAGCCCCCAAGUAGCUGGGACCACAGGCUCAGCUAAUUUUUACUUUUUUUUUUUAUUUUGCAGAUAUCAACCUCUCUGUGUUUCCUAGGCUGGUCUCAAACUCCUGGACUCAAGCAAUCCUCCUGCCUUAGCCUCCACAAGUGCUGGGAUUACAGGCAUGAGCAACUGCAUCCAGCUAAACAACCUCUCUUCUUGCAACACUGUUUCCUUGUGAGCUCAUUAACAUGCUAAUUACCAGAUUCCACAGGAAGAUGGAUUACAGAGCAAUAAGACAGGCUGGGUUCACCCUGGAAUGUGACCAGUAGUGACAGCCUCUAUAACAAUGACACAGGUGGGGACCACCAUCGGAAGAUGGAGAUUCUGGGGAACUGCUACCAGCUGCAGGGCUGAGAGUGACAUAUCUGACAUUUGUUCAUUGUUCAUCUGUUCAUACAGUCAUUCUUGCAUGAGUUUACUGGACACCUGCUGUGAGCAGGCACUGAGUGGCAUAAAAAUUCCUAGAACAGUCUCAUCAGAGAAAAGACACACACAGAAAGAGAAAUUAUACUACAAUGCAGUUAUGGAAACUCAUUCAACAAAAUUUUACUGAAUGCUUACUUACUAUUUGUCAGGUACCGUUAUCGAUGCUGGGAAAAGAGAAAAGGACAUCAUUUUGCCCUCAGGGAGCUCAUAGUCUAACGGAGAGAGAGACAUGUGAACAACUACAACGUCUAUGGUAUAAGAAAACACUAAAUUGGAGACAUGUUCAAAGUAGUGCAGGGGAGGGAGCGGAGUGAGACUUCCUGGGGUCAUCCAGAAGGGCUUCCCGGCAGGAACUCGGAAACGGGACCCAGAAAGUUGUUUUCUGCAAGUGGAUGGAACAACACAAGCAAUCAGUAUCCUGAAACAGGCCCUG